Long non-coding RNA from Parasteatoda tepidariorum (common house spider), 1326 nucleotides. RefSeq lists it as uncharacterized. NCBI's taxonomy places the organism in Eukaryota, Metazoa, Arthropoda, Arachnida, Araneae, Theridiidae. The record is from RefSeq and is a predicted model, not a curated record.
UCUUCUCAACCUCAGGGCCAAUAAUAACGUAGGUGUGUUAGCUUGAUUGCAUUGAAACGCGACGCUGUAAAAUCUGAUGCUCCAGUUCCGAAAGAGAACUUAAUCUGAGUUGAUAUCUUUUAAACAAGAAUGUAAACUGUAAUUUUAAUUUGGUUCACACAAAUCUUCUCAUCUCAUUAUGUAUCAAUAAUAAAUAAUCCAAGUUCAUUAAUGAGCUAUCCAGACAAGAAUCGAAAAAAUAUAGACCAAACAUUCUAGGAACGCCGACUAAUCAUCGUUCCAAAAUUGAUUCAUUUACUGCUACUGUAUACAAACCGGCAUCGCUGUUUUAAUUGUUUACCUUUCCCCGAUAUAAACAUAGGAUUGUAUACAUUAACGAUCUCAAUUUGUAUAUAUAUCGUACGCUACUUCGUCUCAUCACUUUGCAUAAUUGCACUUUUAUCUUCUAUAAAGUGAACAACUUUGAAGUGCAAUGAAAAAGCCAAGAUUUGCUUACAUUUUUCGGGCACAAGUUCGUGAUUUUUCAACAGAUGUAUGUAACAUUCACCAAAAGCCUUUCGAACUUAUCAGGGAUACUUCCAUCCAAAUAAACUCUCUUUACUUUAAGAGUAAACUAUGGGAUUAUAAACAAAAGUUGUUGAUGCUAACUCUAAAAGGGAGAACAGACUGGACGGUGGAAUUGUUCACUUUUUUAAAGUUCUUCUCCAGCACUUGGUAUGCUCACGUUUUUGUCUGGAGUUAGCACUUUUUGCUGGCCUGAUAUUUUAAUUUGUGAGGGUAGCUCACGUGUUGCAUGGAUUUCCGUUGAAAUCAUGUUUUCGUUGGCACGUUUUGGGUCAAACAAUGUGACAGUUUGCAUGGAUUAUCUAAUGUGAAUAUGCUUUAUGGGAAAAGUCACAAGCACUUUCAGUUUUGGUGGAGACCAGACUAAUUGGUUUUUUAGUUUUUGGAUAGAAGGAAACGAAUGGAAAAGCUACUGACUUUAUAAAUUGAGGUAUGUCAGUUAUUUUCGGAUUACACUUUUUCUCUGUCGCAUUUGAUGUUCAGUUCACAGCACCCAAAAUGUCGAUACCGCAAUUUGAUCCGGAAUUUUUUACAGCGUUGUGCAUAGUAAAGGUGUUCCUUAUUAGCAAAUGAUGUCACUGUCAGCAAAUGAUGUCACGCAUGGAGGAAGGGAUGUGGACAACACGAAGUGUGGCAUCACAUAUUUCGAUCAAAAUCUUAAUUUUUCUAUUGAAAUAAAUAAAUAUUUUAUUCAGUAUUAUUAUUAUGUUCGCAAAUGUCCUCAAAGCACAUAGUCAAUGUUUAAAAGGAGAAAGAAAUUGU